RNAcentral lists this ribosomal RNA (463 nucleotides) under uncultured bacterium. Its description in RNAcentral is "bacterial SSU rRNA". It matches the Rfam family "Bacterial small subunit ribosomal RNA", at positions 26 to 507 of the family's 1533-position model. The record is from RNAcentral.
AGGACGAACGCUGGCGGCGUGCUUAACACAUGCAAGUCGAACGGAAAGGCCCUUCGGGGUACUCGAGUGGCGAACGGGUGAGUAACACGUGGGUGAUCUGCCCUGCACUUUGGGAUAAGCCUGGGAAACUGGGUCUAAUACCGGAUAGGACUACGGCCUGCAUGGGUUGUGGUGGAAAGCUUUUGCGGUGUGGGAUGGGCCCGCGGCCUAUCAGCUUGUUGGUGGGGUGAUGGCCUACCAAGGCGACGACGGGUAGCCGGCCUGAGAGGGUGACCGGCCACACUGGGACUGAGAUACGGCCCAGACUCCUACGGGAGGCAGCAGUGGGGAAUAUUGCACAAUGGGCGCAAGCCUGAUGCAGCGACGCCGCGUGGGGAUGACGGCCUUCGGGUUGUAAACCUCUUUCAGUAGGGACGAAGCGUAAGUGACGGUACCUAUAGAAGAAGCACCGGCCAACUACGUG